RNAcentral lists this long non-coding RNA (718 nucleotides) under Rattus norvegicus (Norway rat). Its description in RNAcentral is "long non-coding RNA NONRATT003910". The record is from RNAcentral. Lineage: Eukaryota; Metazoa; Chordata; Mammalia; Rodentia; Muridae.
AGUGGAGUAGCCUCACUUCUAGUGCGGCCAUGGUUUCUCUGUACUUCAUUCUUGCUGUCUGGAAGUCGUUUUGUCGUCCUGGAUACAGAUUGGUCUUGCCGUUUGUUUACCUUCUCUUAGGACCGUGCGGUGUGAACGCUGGCCAUGUGCCUCGCCGUCCUGAGAAAAGAUCCAGGCGGUGGCUGUCUGUCCAGGGCCAGAUCGCCUCACUCGCACCUUCCUGCAUCUGAUUGCUGUAGUCUUCGUGUCCUCUUGUCACAGCCCCGUGGUGUCUUCGCUCUAACCGUUUUAUUCCUGCAGUGCUCUUGCCUUCAGUAGCCCUAAACUUAGAUGCAGUGCAUUUCGGCAGCUUUGGGCACACAGUGCCGUGACAGAAGAGUCCAGUGAAUCAUUAAAUGGCUAGAAACCCUUCCACUGUAGACAGCUGUGCUUGGAGCCUGCCAAAGUUUCCUCCCUGUGAGAGGACACACAGUGUAUCCUGAAGAGUGGUCCUUCCCGAGUGAGAGCUGAGGACAAGUCAGCCGUCUGAGGAACCCCCUUCUCCUGUCUGGAGCACGAGUGACUCUCAGUGAUGAUUUAUAAAUACUUUUUUUCCUGCAGGUCCCCAAAGGUGGCGUAACGGAGAUCUCUGCAGCUGACAAGGCUGAGGAAUUUCGAAGACAACAGGCUGACUUUGUGGACCUGAGCUUCCCGACGAUUUCCAGCACGGGACCCAACG